AGUGAACGCUGGCGGUAGGCCUAACACAUGCAAGUCGAACGGCAGCACAGUAAGAGCUUGCUCUUACGGGUGGCGAGUGGCGGACGGGUGAGGAAUACAUCGGCAUCUACUUUUUCGUGGGGGAUAACGUAGGGAAACUUACGCUAAUACCGCAUACGACCUACGGGUGAAAGCAGGGGAUCUUCGGACCUUGCGCGAUUCAAUGAGCCGAUGUCGGAUUAGCUAGUUGGCGGGGUAAAGGCCCACCAAGGCGACGAUCCGUAGCUGGUCUGAGAGGAUGAUCGGCCACACUGGAACUGAGACACGGUCCAGACUCCUACGGGAGGCAGCAGUGGGGAAUAUUGGACAAUGGGUGCAAGCCUGAUCCAGCCAUACCGCGUGAGUGAAGAAGGCCUUCGGGUUGUAAAGCCCUUUUGUUGGGAAAGAAAAGCAGCAGGUUAAUACCCCGCUGUUCUGACGGUACCCAAAGAAUAAGCACCGGCUAACUUCGUG
This 492-nucleotide ribosomal RNA is filed under the name uncultured bacterium. RNAcentral's name for it is "partial 16S ribosomal RNA". It matches the Rfam family "Bacterial small subunit ribosomal RNA", at positions 29 to 507 of the family's 1533-position model. The record is from RNAcentral.